AUGGGUUUCUCUGUUAAGAUGAACACUUCAAAGAGGAAUGCUUAUACCAACAUAUUGGAGAAACAACAAUUUGCAUGUAACAAGUUUAGGAAACCAAAAGAGGAUAAUGUAGCAGCUGAGUUGCCACCUGUGCUAGAUCCUAUACCAGACCCCAAACCUUUGGGUGAAGAAGAUGAAAUGGAAGAAGUGCCAAUAUUCGAUGGAGAGGAGAGUGGAAAAAAGAAUAAUAAGAAGAAGCGCAAGAGAGAAAGGAUAAAGCAAACACAAUGUAAGGCAAAAAUGCUGGUUAAAUUGAAGGAUGGGCGGUGGGAAAUAACCCACUUUGUCCGUGAUCAUGAUCAUCCAUUGGUCGCCAAGCCUUCGCUGUCCAAAUACUUGCAAUCUCACAUGGGUAUACCGUGGGAGGAAAAGAGGUUCCUAGAGAUACUCUACAACUGCAAUCUGACUUCAGGCUGUAUGAUGCAUAUCAUGUCAGAAUUUUAUGGCUCGGAGCUAAAUGUACUGUAUGGACCUAAAGCAAUAACAAACCUAUGUGCUGGCUUCUCCAAGGACUCAAUGAAAGAGGGGGACAUUAUUGAGACAAUUGAACAUUUUAAAGACUUGCAAAAAGAUGAUCUAGAUUUUUUCUAUAAGACAAAAUAUGAUCUCGAAGGGAGGGCAGAAAACAUUUUUUGGGUGGAUGGCUUGGCACAGAAAGCUUAUAUGGAGGUAUAUCAUGAUUGUGUCUCCUUUGACACAACUUACAUGACCAAUAUGUACAACAUGCCUUUUGCUCCGUUCAUUGGGAUCAACUGUCAUGGGCAAUCUUUCAUGUUGGGCUGCGCGUUUGUGAGGCAGGAAAUGGAGACUAGCUUUGAUUGGGUUUUUGGAGCUUUCCUAGAGGCUAUGAAUGGAAGGGCACCGGAUAACAUCAUUACUGAUCAGGAUGUGGCAAUGAAAGAGUCCAUAAAGAACAUAUUUCCCAAAAGCAUGCACCGAUGUUGUCGGUGGUACAUCAUGAAAAAAGCUCAAGAGAAAGUUGGAUGGUUGCUAGGUCAAAACCUGGGAUUGUCUGAAGAUUUCAACCUUUGCGUUGAUUUCAGUUUCACACCAGAUGAGUUUGAACAGAAUUGGGUUGUGUUGAUGAUGAAAUAUGAGACAAUUACACACACCCAUUUUGAGAAUCUGUACAAAUAUAGGAACACUUGGGUGCCAUGUUACUUCAAGAAUAGAUUUUUCCAUUCUUGCAGUCUACACAAUGAAGUGAGAGGUUCAAUGCAGUCUUCAAGCGGUAUGUCAACUGCUACCUGUUGA
Molecule: ribosomal RNA, 1293 nt
Filed under: Triticum aestivum (bread wheat)
Lineage: Eukaryota; Viridiplantae; Streptophyta; Magnoliopsida; Poales; Poaceae
Description: partial small subunit ribosomal RNA
Source: RNAcentral